RNAcentral lists this ribosomal RNA (507 nucleotides) under uncultured bacterium. RNAcentral's name for it is "partial 16S ribosomal RNA". It matches the Rfam family "Bacterial small subunit ribosomal RNA", at positions 28 to 507 of the family's 1533-position model. The record is from RNAcentral.
GACGAACGCUGGCGGCGUGCCUAAUACAUGCAAGUCGAACGCAUUUUCUUUCACCGUAGCUUGCUACACCGAAAGAAAAUGAGUGGCGAACGGGUGAGUAACACGUGGGUAACCUGCCCAUCAGCGGGGGAUAACACUUGGAAACAGGUGCUAAUACCGCAUAAUUCCAUUUACCGCAUGGUAGAUGGAUGAAAGGCGCUUUUGCGCCACUGAUGGAUGGACCCGCGGUGCAUUAGCUAGUUGGUGGGGUAACGGCCUACCAAGGCUGCGAUGCAUAGCCGACCUGAGAGGGUGAUCGGCCACACUGGGACUGAGACACGGCCCAGACUCCUACGGGAGGCAGCAGUAGGGAAUCUUCGGCAAUGGACACAAGUCUGACCGAGCAACGCCGCGUGAGUGAAGAAGGUUUUCGGAUCGUAAAACUCUGUUGUUAGAGAAGAACAAGGAUGAGAGUGGAAAGUUCAUCCCUUGACGGUAUCUAACCAGAAAGCCACGGCUAACUACGUG